This 795-nucleotide ribosomal RNA is filed under the name uncultured bacterium. RNAcentral's name for it is "bacterial SSU rRNA". It matches the Rfam family "Bacterial small subunit ribosomal RNA", at positions 8 to 796 of the family's 1533-position model. The record is from RNAcentral.
AGAGUUUGAUCAUGGCUCAGAUUGAACGCUGGCGGCGUGCCUAACACAUGCAAGUCGAGCGGUAACAGGUGUAGCAAUACAUGCUGACGAGCGGCGAACGGGUGAGUAAUGCUUCGGAAUCUACCCAAUGGUGGGGAAUAACCAGCCGAAAGGUUGGCUAAUACCGCAUACGUCCUACGGGGGAAAGCAGGGGAUCGUAAGACCUUGCGCCGAUGGAUGAGCCGAAGCCGGAUUAGCUAGUUGGUAGGGUAACGGCCUACCAAGGCGACGAUCCGUAGCUGGUCUGAGAGGACGACCAGCCACACUGGGACUGAGACACGGCCCAGACUCCUACGGGAGGCAGCAGUGGGGAAUAUUGGACAAUGGGGGCAACCCUGAUCCAGCGACGCCGCGUGUGUGAAGAAGGCCUGCGGGUUGUAAAGCACUUUUAGUGGGGAUGAAAAGUGCAGAGUUAAUACCUCUGCAUCUUGACCUAACCCACAGAAAAAGCACCGGCUAACUCUGUGCCAGCAGCCGCGGUAAUACAGAGGGUGCAAGCGUUAAUCGGAAUUACUGGGCGUAAAGCGUGCGUAGACGGUUACAUAAGUCAGGUGUGAAAGCCCCGGGCUCAACCUGGGAAUUGCAUUUGAGACUGUGUAGCUAGGGUGCGGAAGAGGGAAGCGGAAUUUCCGGUGUAGCGGUGAAAUGCGUAGAUAUCGGAAGGAACACCAGUGGCGAAAGCGGCUUCCUGGUCCAGCACCGACGUUCAGGCACGAAAGCGUGGGGAGCAAACAGGAUUAGAUACCCUAGUAGUCC